This 72-nucleotide transfer RNA is filed under the name Camelus ferus (Wild Bactrian camel). It matches the Rfam family "tRNA". From Rfam's summary of the family: Transfer RNA (tRNA) molecules are approximately 80 nucleotides in length. Lineage: Eukaryota; Metazoa; Chordata; Mammalia; Artiodactyla; Camelidae. The record is from Rfam by way of RNAcentral.
GAAGGUAUAGCUCAGUGGUAGAGUACAUGCCUAGCAUGUACAAGGUCCUGGGUUCAAUCUCCAGUACUUCUA